AGGACGAACGCUGGCGGCGUGCUUAACACAUGCAAGUCGAGCGAGACUUCGGUCUAGCGGCGAACGGGUGAGUAACACGUGGGCAACCUGCCCCGAGCUCUGGGAUAACUCCGGGAAACCGGGGCUAAUACCGGAUACGACCCGAGAAGACAUCUUCUCGGGUGGAAAGUUUUUCGGCUCGGGAUGGGCCCGCGGCCUAUCAGCUUGUUGGUGGGGUAACGGCCUACCAAGGCGACGACGGGUAGCCGGCCUGAGAGGGCGACCGGCCAACGACUGGGACUGAGACACGGCCCAGACUCCUACGGGAGGCAGCAGUGGGGAAUAUUGCGCAAUGGGCGAAAGCCUGACGCAGCGACGCCGCGUGAGGGAUGAAGGCCUUCGGGUUGUAAACCUCUUUCAGCAGGGACGAAGCGAAAGUGACGGUACCUGCAGAAGAAGCACCGGCCAACUACGUGCCAGCAGCCGC
RNAcentral lists this ribosomal RNA (466 nucleotides) under uncultured bacterium. Its description in RNAcentral is "SSU rRNA". It matches the Rfam family "Bacterial small subunit ribosomal RNA", at positions 26 to 518 of the family's 1533-position model. The record is from RNAcentral.